UAGCCUAGUGGUAAGGGUUAUGGACCGCCAAUCCGGAGACGGCGGGUUCGAUUCCCGU
Molecule: non-coding RNA, 58 nt
Organism: Aedes albopictus (Asian tiger mosquito)
Lineage: Eukaryota; Metazoa; Arthropoda; Insecta; Diptera; Culicidae
Source: Rfam